Molecule: small nucleolar RNA, 104 nt
Filed under: Jaculus jaculus (lesser Egyptian jerboa)
Lineage: Eukaryota; Metazoa; Chordata; Mammalia; Rodentia; Dipodidae
Source: RNAcentral
NAGCAGAAGAAGUUGAGGGAACCAGGUUUGCUAAAGUAAUUAUGGGGAUAGGAAUGAUUGGCCUCAGAAGCUACUGACAUGGCCUACUCUAUCCUAGUACAGUU